This 242-nucleotide unclassified non-coding RNA is filed under the name Hevea brasiliensis (rubber tree). The record is from RNAcentral. Lineage: Eukaryota; Viridiplantae; Streptophyta; Magnoliopsida; Malpighiales; Euphorbiaceae.
GCGGCAUCUCUGCCACCCAAUUCCGCCGUCAUCGACGUUUGUGCCACGGCGGUGGUUUCAUCUAUAGCUUUGUACACUGAAAAAUUACUGAUUUUGAAUUUUCGAUGAUACCCAGAUGGAAGAAACAUAGCAAAGAAUGGUUUUUGUGGAUCAGAUCUGUAUUCAUCAAAUGAUGGAUUUGUUGAAAAAGAUUGGCAUUUGUGGAUGGCUUUGAGAGUUUAACACCCCAACUAUGAGAUAUU